Molecule: ribosomal RNA, 484 nt
Filed under: uncultured bacterium
Lineage: Bacteria
Description: partial 16S ribosomal RNA
Rfam family: Bacterial small subunit ribosomal RNA
Source: RNAcentral
AUUGAACGCUGGCGGCAGGCCUAACACAUGCAAGUCGAGCGGAUGAAGGGAGCUUGCUCCUGGAUUCAGCGGCGGACGGGUGAGUAAUGCCUAGGAAUCUGCCUGGUAGUGGGGGAUAACGUCCGGAAACGGGCGCUAAUACCGCAUACGUCCUGAGGGAGAAAGUGGGGGAUCUUCGGACCUCACGCUAUCAGAUGAGCCUAGGUCGGAUUAGCUAGUUGGUGGGGUAAAGGCCUACCAAGGCGACGAUCCGUAACUGGUCUGAGAGGAUGAUCAGUCACACUGGAACUGAGCCACGGUCCAGACUCCUACGGGAGGCCGCAGUGGGGAAUAUUGGCCACUGGGCGAAAGCCUGAUCCAGCCAUGCCGCGUGUGUGAAGCAGGUCUUCGGAUUGUAAAGCACUUUAAGUUGGGAGGAAGGGCAGUAAGUUAAUCCCUUGCUGUUUUGACGUUACCAACAGAAUAAGCACCGGCUAACUUCGUG